Molecule: ribosomal RNA, 494 nt
Filed under: uncultured bacterium
Lineage: Bacteria
Description: partial 16S ribosomal RNA
Rfam family: Bacterial small subunit ribosomal RNA
Source: RNAcentral
GACGAACGCUGGCGGCGUGCUUAACACAUGCAAGUCGAACGGAAAGGCCUGCUUUCCCUUGUGGAUUGCGGGUACUCGAGUGGCGAACGGGUGAGUAACACGUGAGUGAUCUGCCCCCAACUUGGGUAUAAGCCUGGGAAACUGGGUCUAAUUCCCGAUAGGACUGCAGGGUGGUGCCUGUGGUGGAAAACGAUUUUCUAGUGGUUGGGGAUGAGCUCGCGGCCUAUCAGCUUGUUGGUGGGGUAAUGGCCUACCAAGGCGGCGACGGGUAGCCGGCCUGGGAGGGUGGACGGCCACAUUGGGACUGAGAUACGGCGCAGACGCCUACGGGAGGCAGCAGUGGGGAAUAUUGCACAAUGGGCGGAAGCCUGAUGCAGCGACGCCGCGUGGGGGAUGACGGCCUUCGGGUUGUAAACUCCUUUCGACCGCGAGGAAGCCACCUGGUUGGAAGGGUGGUGACGGUAGUGGUAGAAGAAGCACCGGCUAACUACGUG